This 1262-nucleotide long non-coding RNA is filed under the name Ananas comosus (pineapple). Its description in RNAcentral is "long non-coding RNA (ACOM_LNC005111)". Lineage: Eukaryota; Viridiplantae; Streptophyta; Magnoliopsida; Poales; Bromeliaceae. The record is from RNAcentral.
CAUCACUUUAUAUUUAUUUAAUUCUAUUUAAAAAUACAUAAAAUUUUUAAAAAUUAAAAAAAUAAAAUACUAUUUUAAAAAAUAAUAUAUGAGAAAAAACAAUCCAAUAUUUGGAAACUAAAUUUUAUAAAUUUUCGACAUCAUUUGGCUGGUGAUCAAAAGGUCUCAAAAUUGACAGUUUUAAUGGUAGAUGUGAUGCAUUUGUGAAUUUAACGGUAUAAAAUAAUCCAAAUCUGAUCAAAUUUUUAUAGAAAAUUUUUUUCACUAUUUAGGGUAAGAUCAGCACCUCUGUUCUUAAAUUCAAGUCUUUUAUCAUUAUUUUUUAUGAAAUUUUUAUUUUCAACCGUUUAUUUUUCUACUACUCGUUUGAUAGGUAAAUGAUGUCGAAAAAUUAUAAAAUUUAGUUUCCAAAUACUUUCAAUAGUAUAGAUCAAGUUUAACGGAGCCGAUCGUCGAUUUGGAAACCGCAUCAUCGAAAACAAUUUGGUAGCACGAAAACCUCCGUGCUACCGAUAGUAUACCAACCUACCUAUAUAUAUAUAUAUAUAUAUAUACUACUUAUAAAAGCAUGAGUUUUGAAUUUUUUUUCUUUCCAAAAAUGCCUCUAUUUUUUUUACUAAUAUUGUCGUGUCCGAUAAUUCUCAACCAUCCAUUUUAAAUAAAUCUUUAAAUAAUAAUUUAUUCUCAAAUAUAGAUCUUAAGUUUUCACCAUUGGAUCUCAUCCAACAAAUAAAAAUAAAAGUAUCUGUCAUUUUUGUUGACAAAAAUACCCUCCAUAUCCGUUAUCUCCUAUCUACGCCGCGUUUCUCAAAUAUUUUUUUUCUAUCCAUAAAUAAUGUAAUACGUAAAACUAAAUUUAUCUCUUAUCUAACGUAAUACCCACCAAUCAUGUAAUACCUUCGCUAAUCACGUAAUACGUAAAAUUAAAUUUAUUUGCUAUCCACGUGUUUUCUCAAAUAUUUUUUCUUUUCAAACAUAAUACCUGUCAACACGUAGUAUUCAAAUGCCCAUAACGUAAUAUUCAAAAUUAAAUUUUAAAGUUAUAAUGCCCGCCAAAAUUUAAUACCCGCGAAUUUGAUAAUUUAAAUUUUAAUUCAUAAUAGUAGAUUUUUCCUCACAUAAGAUAGUAAAUUUAAUUUUAACGAGUAUUAAAAUUUGGCCCCCUAGGGUUGAAUGGGUGGUUGGUUGAAUAGUAUAAUCUAUCGGGUGGAAAUGAUUAAAGGAUAAAUCUAACGGCAACAAUUUAUGAGUACAAUAGGCUC